CGGUAGUAUAGUGGUAAGUAUCCCCGCCUGUCACGCGGGAGACCGGGGUUCGAUUCCCCACUUUUUGA
Molecule: transfer RNA, 68 nt
Filed under: Caerostris darwini
Lineage: Eukaryota; Metazoa; Arthropoda; Arachnida; Araneae; Araneidae
Description: tRNA-Asp
Rfam family: tRNA (bases 3-61)
About the family: Transfer RNA (tRNA) molecules are approximately 80 nucleotides in length. Their secondary structure includes four short double-helical elements and three loops (D, anti-codon, and T loops). Further hydrogen bonds mediate the characteristic L-shaped molecular structure. tRNAs have two regions of fundamental functional importance: the anti-codon, which is responsible for specific mRNA codon recognition, and the 3' end, to which the tRNAs corresponding amino acid is attached (by aminoacyl-tRNA synthetases). tRNAs cope with the degeneracy of the genetic code in two manners: having more than one tRNA (with a specific anti-codon) for a particular amino acid; and 'wobble' base-pairing, i.e. permitting non-standard base-pairing at the 3rd anti-codon position.
Source: RNAcentral